This 754-nucleotide ribosomal RNA is filed under the name uncultured bacterium. RNAcentral describes it as "bacterial SSU rRNA". It matches the Rfam family "Bacterial small subunit ribosomal RNA", at positions 28 to 773 of the family's 1533-position model. The record is from RNAcentral.
AUUGAACGCUGGCGGCAGGCUUAACACAUGCAAGUCGAACGGUAACAGGAAGAAAGCUUGCUUUCUUUGCUGACGAGUGGCGGACGGGUGAGUAAUGCUUGGGAAUCUGCCUUAUGGAGGGGGAUAACUACGGGAAACUGUAGCUAAUACCGCGUAAUGUCUACGGACUAAAGUAUGGGAUCUUCGGACCAUAUGCCAUAAGAUGAGCCCAAGUGAGAUUAGGUAGUUGGUGAGGUAAAGGCUCACCAAGCUGACGAUCUCUAGCUGGUUUGAGAGGAUGACCAGCCACACUGGAACUGAGACACGGUCCAGACUCCUACGGGAGGCAGCAGUGGGGAAUAUUGCACAAUGGGCGCAAGCCUGAUGCAGCCAUGCCGCGUGAAUGAAGAAGGCUUUCGGGUUGUAAAGUUCUUUCAGCGAUGAGGAAGGUUGUGUAUCUAAUAGGUAUGCAAAUUGACGUUAGUCGCAGAAGAAGCACCGGCUAACUCCGUGCCAGCAGCCGCGGUAAUACGGAGGGUGCGAGCGUUAAUCGGAAUAACUGGGCGUAAAGGGCACGCAGGCGGUUGUCUAAGUCAGAUGUGAAAGCCCCGAGCUUAACUUGGGAAUUGCAUUUGAGACUGGGCGACUAGAGUCCUCUAGGGAGGGGUAGAAUUCCACGUGUAGCGGUGAAAUGCGUAGAGAUGUGGAGGAAUACCGAAGCGAAGCAGCCCCUUGGAGAGAGACUGACGCUGAUGCGAAAGCGUGGGUAGCAAAC